Molecule: non-coding RNA, 74 nt
Organism: Trichomonas vaginalis G3
Lineage: Eukaryota; Parabasalia; Trichomonadida; Trichomonadidae
Source: Rfam
GUUUCGGUGGUGCAGUCGGAUAGCACAUAUGUCUUAUAAGCAGACGGUCGCAGGUUCAAAUCCUGCCCGAAACA